AUCAAAAUAUAGUAAAGACUGAGGAGGACCCUCUUUAAUCUAUAUUGACUUAUUAUUUGAGUUCCAAAGGCGGUUUAUUGAAUUCUUGAAGGAAGGGUGAAAUUGUUGAUAUUGGAAGACAUUCGAUAGCGAAAGCAAUAACCGAUUUGGAUCUGACGCUAGGUACUAAAGUAUGGGGAUAAAUAGGAUUAGAGACCUAGUAGUCCAUACCUUAAACAAUGAGUGUUCAACAUCUUUUAUGUCUUUUCUCCUCAAUCUUUUAUAAGUUGGGGUUGAUUAGGCAAUCUGGGGUUURAAGUUAAGGCGAGAAACACUAA
Molecule: ribosomal RNA, 317 nt
Filed under: Fuligo cinerea
Lineage: Eukaryota; Evosea; Eumycetozoa; Physariida; Physaraceae
Description: SSU rRNA
Rfam family: Bacterial small subunit ribosomal RNA
Source: RNAcentral